UACGGGGGGGGCAAGCGUUGUUCGGAAUUACUGGGCGUAAAGGGCUCGUAGGCGGCCAACUAAGUCAUACGUGAAAUCCCCCGGCUUAACCGGGGAACUGCGUCUGAUACUGGAUGGCUUGAGUUCGGGAGAGGGAUGCGGAAUUCCAGGUGUAGCGGUGAAAUGCGUAGAUAUCGUAAGGAAGACCAGUGGCGAAGGCGGGUCUCUGGACAGUUCCUGACGCUGAGGCACGAAGGUCAGGGGAGCAAACGGG
RNAcentral lists this ribosomal RNA (253 nucleotides) under uncultured bacterium. RNAcentral describes it as "partial 16S ribosomal RNA". It matches the Rfam family "Bacterial small subunit ribosomal RNA", at positions 524 to 776 of the family's 1533-position model. The record is from RNAcentral.